This 29-nucleotide small RNA is filed under the name Bombyx mori (domestic silkworm). Its description in RNAcentral is "ovarian small RNA-11515". The record is from RNAcentral. Lineage: Eukaryota; Metazoa; Arthropoda; Insecta; Lepidoptera; Bombycidae.
ACGCGAUACACCGCCAACCAGUUGCUCUU